UACAGAGGGUGCAAGCGUUAAUCGGAAUUACUGGGCGUAAAGCGCGCGUAGGCGGUUUAGUAAGUCGGUUGUGAAAGCCCUGGGCUCAACCUGGGAAUUGCAGUCGAUACUGUUAAGCUAGAGUAUGGUAGAGGGAAGUGGAAUUCCAGGUGUAGCGGUGAAAUGCGUAGAUAUCUGGAGGAACAUCAGUGGCGAAGGCGGCUUCCUGGACCAAUACUGACGCUGAGGCGCGAAAGCGUGGGGAGCAAACAGG
Molecule: ribosomal RNA, 253 nt
Filed under: uncultured bacterium
Lineage: Bacteria
Description: partial 16S ribosomal RNA
Rfam family: Bacterial small subunit ribosomal RNA
Source: RNAcentral